UUAAGCGACUAAGCGUACACGGUGGAUGCCCUGGCAGUCAGAGGCGAUGAAGGACGUGCUAAUCUGCGAUAAGCGUCGGUAAGGUGAUAUGAACCGUUAUAACCGGCGAUUUCCGAAUGGGGAAACCCAGUGUGUUUCGACACACUAUCAUUAACUGAAUCCAUAGGUUAAUGAGGCGAACCGGGGGAACUGAAACAUCUAAGUACCCCGAGGAAAAGAAAUCAACCGAGAUUCCCCCAGUAGCGGCGAGCGAACGGGGAGCAGCCCAGAGCCUGAAUCAGUGUGUGUGUUAGUGGAAGCGUCUGGAAAGGCGCGCGAUACAGGGUGACAGCCCCGUACACAAAAAUGCACAUGCUGUGAGCUCGAUGAGUAGGGCGGGACACGUGGUAUCCUGUCUGAAUAUGGGGGGACCAUCCUCCAAGGCUAAAUACUCCUGACUGACCGAUAGUGAACCAGUACCGUGAGGGAAAGGCGAAAAGAACCCCGGCGAGGGGAGUGAAAAAGAACCUGAAACCGUGUACGUACAAGCAGUGGGAGCACGCUUAGGCGUGUGACUGCGUACCUUUUGUAUAAUGGGUCAGCGACUUAUAUUCUGUAGCAAGGUUAACCGAAUAGGGGAGCCGAAGGGAAACCGAGUCUUAACUGGGCGUUAAGUUGCAGGGUAUAGACCCGAAACCCGGUGAUCUAGCCAUGGGCAGGUUGAAGGUUGGGUAACACUAACUGGAGGACCGAACCGACUAAUGUUGAAAAAUUAGCGGAUGACUUGUGGCUGGGGGUGAAAGGCCAAUCAAACCGGGAGAUAGCUGGUUCUCCCCGAAAGCUAUUUAGGUAGCGCCUCGUGAAUUCAUCUCCGGGGGUAGAGCACUGUUUCGGCAAGGGGGUCAUCCCGACUUACCAACCCGAUGCAAACUGCGAAUACCGGAGAAUGUUAUCACGGGAGACACACGGCGGGUGCUAACGUCCGUCGUGAAGAGGGAAACAACCCAGACCGCCAGCUAAGGUCCCAAAGUCAUGGUUAAGUGGGAAACGAUGUGGGAAGGCCCAGACAGCCAGGAUGUUGGCUUAGAAGCAGCCAUCAUUUAAAGAAAGCGUAAUAGCUCACUGGUCGAGUCGGCCUGCGCGGAAGAUGUAACGGGGCUAAACCAUGCACCGAAGCUGCGGCAGCGACACUGUGUGUUGUUGGGUAGGGGAGCGUUCUGUAAGCCUGUGAAGGUGUACUGUGAGGUAUGCUGGAGGUAUCAGAAGUGCGAAUGCUGACAUAAGUAACGAUAAAGCGGGUGAAAAGCCCGCUCGCCGGAAGACCAAGGGUUCCUGUCCAACGUUAAUCGGGGCAGGGUGAGUCGACCCCUAAGGCGAGGCCGAAAGGCGUAGUCGAUGGGAAACAGGUUAAUAUUCCUGUACUUGGUGUUACUGCGAAGGGGGGACGGAGAAGGCUAUGUUGGCCGGGCGACGGUUGUCCCGGUUUAAGCGUGUAGGCUGGUUUUCCAGGCAAAUCCGGAAAAUCAAGGCUGAGGCGUGAUGACGAGGCACUACGGUGCUGAAGCAACAAAUGCCCUGCUUCCAGGAAAAGCCUCUAAGCAUCAGGUAACAUCAAAUCGUACCCCAAACCGACACAGGUGGUCAGGUAGAGAAUACCAAGGCGCUUGAGAGAACUCGGGUGAAGGAACUAGGCAAAAUGGUGCCGUAACUUCGGGAGAAGGCACGCUGAUAUGUAGGUGAAGUCCCUCGCGGAUGGAGCUGAAAUCAGUCGAAGAUACCAGCUGGCUGCAACUGUUUAUUAAAAACACAGCACUGUGCAAACACGAAAGUGGACGUAUACGGUGUGACGCCUGCCCGGUGCCGGAAGGUUAAUUGAUGGGGUUAGCGGUAACGCGAAGCUCUUGAUCGAAGCCCCGGUAAACGGCGGCCGUAACUAUAACGGUCCUAAGGUAGCGAAAUUCCUUGUCGGGUAAGUUCCGACCUGCACGAAUGGCGUAAUGAUGGCCAGGCUGUCUCCACCCGAGACUCAGUGAAAUUGAACUCGCUGUGAAGAUGCAGUGUACCCGCGGCAAGACGGAAAGACCCCGUGAACCUUUACUAUAGCUUGACACUGAACAUUGAGCCUUGAUGUGUAGGAUAGGUGGGAGGCUUAGAAGUGUGGACGCCAGUCUGCAUGGAGCCGACCUUGAAAUACCACCCUUUAAUGUUUGAUGUUCUAACGUUGACCCGUAAUCCGGGUUGCGGACAGUGUCUGGUGGGUAGUUUGACUGGGGCGGUCUCCUCCUAAAGAGUAACGGAGGAGCACGAAGGUUGGCUAAUCCUGGUCGGACAUCAGGAGGUUAGUGCAAUGGCAUAAGCCAGCUUGACUGCGAGCGUGACGGCGCGAGCAGGUGCGAAAGCAGGUCAUAGUGAUCCGGUGGUUCUGAAUGGAAGGGCCAUCGCUCAACGGAUAAAAGGUACUCCGGGGAUAACAGGCUGAUACCGCCCAAGAGUUCAUAUCGACGGCGGUGUUUGGCACCUCGAUGUCGGCUCAUCACAUCCUGGGGCUGAAGUAGGUCCCAAGGGUAUGGCUGUUCGCCAUUUAAAGUGGUACGCGAGCUGGGUUUAGAACGUCGUGAGACAGUUCGGUCCCUAUCUGCCGUGGGCGCUGGAGAACUGAGGGGGGCUGCUCCUAGUACGAGAGGACCGGAGUGGACGCAUCACUGGUGUUCGGGUUGUCAUGCCAAUGGCACUGCCCGGUAGCUAAAUGCGGAAGAGAUAAGUGCUGAAAGCAUCUAAGCACGAAACUUGCCCCGAGAUGAGUUCUCCCUGACUCCUUGAGAGUCCUGAAGGAACGUUGAAGACGACGACGUUGAUAGGCCGGGUGUGUAAGCGCAGCGAUGCGUUGAGCUAACCGGUACUAAUGAACCGUGAGGCUUAACCUU
RNAcentral lists this ribosomal RNA (2903 nucleotides) under Escherichia coli. Its description in RNAcentral is "bacterial LSU rRNA". It matches the Rfam family "Bacterial large subunit ribosomal RNA". Lineage: Bacteria; Pseudomonadati; Pseudomonadota; Gammaproteobacteria; Enterobacterales; Enterobacteriaceae. The record is from RNAcentral.